Molecule: ribosomal RNA, 794 nt
Filed under: uncultured bacterium
Lineage: Bacteria
Description: bacterial SSU rRNA
Rfam family: Bacterial small subunit ribosomal RNA
Source: RNAcentral
AGAGUUUGAUCCUGGCUCAGGAUGAACGCUAGCGGCAGGCUUAAUACAUGCAAGUCGAGGGGCAACAGGGGUAGCAAUACCUGCUGGCGACCGGCAAACGGGUGCGCAACACGUACAGAACCUUCCUUUAAGCGGGGGAUAGCCCAUAGAAAUGUGGAUUAAUACCCCAUAGUAUUAUUGUCUGGCAUCAGGUAAUAAUUAAAGAUUUAUCACUUAGAGAUGGCUGUGCGUCUGAUUAGGUAGUUGGUGAGGGUAACGGCCUACCAAGCCUUCGAUCAGUAACUGGUGUGAGAGCACGACCAGUCACACGGGCACUGAGACACGGGCCCGACUCCUACGGGAGGCAGCAGUAAGGAAUAUUGGUCAAUGGAGGCAACUCUGAACCAGCCAUGCCGCGUGAAGGAUGAAGGUCCUCUGGAUUGUAAACUUCUUUUAUGUGGGAAGAAAUGUCCGGAUUAUUCUGGAUUUGACGGUACCAUAGGAAUAAGCACCGGCUAACUCCGUGCCAGCAGCCGCGGUAAUACGGAGGGUGCGAGCGUUAUCCGGAUUCACUGGGUUUAAAGGGUGCGUAGGUGGGUUUGUAAGUCAGUGGUGAAAUCUCCGUGCUUAACAUGGAAACUGCCAUUGAUACUAUAGGUCUUGAAUUUUCCGGAGGUUAGCGGAAUAUGUCAUGUAGCGGUGAAAUGCUUAGAUAUGACAUAGAACACCAAUUGCGAAGGCAGCUAACUACAGGGAUAUUGACACUGAGGCACGAAAGCGUGGGGAUCAAACAGGAUUAGAUACCCCGGUAGUCC